CCCUUAGAUGUCCUGGGCCGCACGCGCGCUACAAUGACACGUUCAACAAGUACUUUCCUGGCUUGGAAAAGUUUCGGGUAAUCUUUAUAAUACGUGUCGUGCUGGGGAUUGAUCUUUGGAAUUAUAGAUCUUGAACGAGGAAUUCCUAGUAAGCAUAAGUCAUCAGCUUGUGCUGAUUACGUCCCUGCCCUUUGUACACACCGCCCGUCGCUCCUACCGAUUGAAUGCUCAGGUGAGCCAUUCGGACUUUCAUCAUGCUGGUUUCCAGUUUUGAUGAAGGAAAGUCUUGCGAACCUUAUCAUUUAGAGGAAGGAGAAGUCGUAACA
RNAcentral lists this ribosomal RNA (326 nucleotides) under uncultured eukaryote. RNAcentral's name for it is "partial 18S ribosomal RNA". It matches the Rfam family "Eukaryotic small subunit ribosomal RNA", at positions 1470 to 1796 of the family's 1831-position model. The record is from RNAcentral.